RNAcentral lists this non-coding RNA (229 nucleotides) under Candidatus Accumulibacter. Lineage: Bacteria; Pseudomonadati; Pseudomonadota; Betaproteobacteria. The record is from RNAcentral.
ACCAUCCACGCACUUCACGGUUCCGCUGCCGCGCGUCUUUUCCGCGCGGCCGGGAUUAAAAGGGAAUCCGGUGUCAGGUCGUAGGACCUGAAAUCCGGGGCUGCCCCCGCAACUGUAAUCGGCGAGUCCUUUGCCACACCGCUGCCACUGGAGAGACGUUUUCUCCGGGAAGGCCGGCCAGGGACGACGACCCGAGAGCCAGGAGACCUGCCGUGUUCAUUGCCGAUCA